This 651-nucleotide ribosomal RNA is filed under the name uncultured bacterium. RNAcentral describes it as "bacterial SSU rRNA". It matches the Rfam family "Bacterial small subunit ribosomal RNA", at positions 54 to 692 of the family's 1533-position model. The record is from RNAcentral.
CAUGCAAGUCGAGGGGAAACGGCAAAGAGUGCUUGCACACUUUGGACGUCGACCGGCGCACGGGUGAGUAACGCGUAUCCAACCUGUCCUUUACUUGGGGAUAACCCGUUGAAAGACGGACUAAUACCCAAUGAUAUUCAUUGAUGACAUCUGACAUGAAUUAAAGAUUUAUCGGUAUAGGAUGGGGAUGCGUCUGAUUAGCUUGUUGGUGAGGUAACGGCUCACCAAGGCCACGAUCAGUAGGGGUUCUGAGAGGAAGGUCCCCCACAUUGGAACUGAGACACGGUCCAAACUCCUACGGGAGGCAGCAGUGAGGAAUAUUGGUCAAUGGACGAGAGUCUGAACCAGCCAAGUAGCGUGCAGGAUGACGGCCCUAUGGGUUGUAAACUGCUUUUGUUUGGGAAUAAUCGACAUUACGUGUAAUGUUUUGCAUGUACCAUUCGAAUAAGGACCGGCUAAUUCCGUGCCAGCAGCCGCGGUAAUACGGAAGGUCCAGGCGUUAUCCGGAUUUAUUGGGUUUAAAGGGAGUGUAGGCGGUUGGUUAAGCGUGUUGUGAAAUGUAGAUGCUCAACAUCUGACUUGCAGCGCGAACUGGCUGACUUGAGUACACACAACGUAGGCGGAAUUCAUGGUGUAGCGGUGAAAUGCUUA